Caenorhabditis elegans is the source of this 139-nucleotide non-coding RNA. The record is from Ensembl. Lineage: Eukaryota; Metazoa; Nematoda; Chromadorea; Rhabditida; Rhabditidae.
GGACCCCAAAUCAACAACAUUUCUUGACAGCUUUCCUUUUUGCGUAUCAUCUGCUGCUAAAACUGCAACUGAAAAUACAUAUGUUCUUCUCGCUUUCUUGACAAGAACCUUUCCAAAAAAAUGCCAAGUUGAGUUAUUG